ACGACCGCUGGCGGCGCGCCUAACACAUGCAAGUCCCACGAGCGAGAGAGAGCUUGCUUUCUCACGCGAGUGGCGAACGGGUGAGUAACGCGUGAGGAACCUGCCUCAAAGAGGGGGACAACAGUUGGAAACGACUGCUAAUACCGCAUAAGCCCACGGUGCCGCAUGGCACAGAGGGAAAAGGAGCAAUCCGCUUUGAGAUGGCCUCGCGUCCGAUUAGCUAGUUGGUGAGGUAACGGCCCACCAAGGCAACGAUCGGUAGCCGGACUGAGAGGUUGAACGGCCACAUUGGGACUGAGACACCGCCCACACUCCUACGGGAGGCAGCAGUGGGGAAUAUUGCACAAUGGGGGAAACCCUGAUGCAGCGACGCCGCGUGGAGGAAGAAGGUCUUCGGAUUGUAAACUCCUGUUGUUGAGGAAGAUAAUGACGGUACUCAACAAGGAAGUGACGGCUAACUACGUGCCAGCAGCCGCGGUAAAACGUAGGUCACAAGCGUUGUCCGGAAUUACUGGGUGUAAAGGGAGCGCAGGCGGGAAGACAAGUUGGAAGUGAAAUCCAUGGGCUCAACCCAUGAACUGCUUUCAAAACUGUUUUUCUUGAGUAGUGCAGAGGUAGGCGGAAUUCCCGGUGUAGCGGUGGAAUGCGUACAUAUCGGGAGGAACACCAGUGGCGAAGGCGGCCUACUGGGCACCAACUGACGCUGAGGCUCGAAAGUGUGGGUAGCAAACAGGAUUAGAUACCCUGGUAGUCCACUCUGUAAACGAUGAUUACUAGGUGUUGGAGGAUUGACCCCUUCAGUGCCGCAGUUAACACAAUAAGUAAUCCACCUGGGGAGUACGACCGCAAGGUUGAAACUCAAAGGAAUUGACGGGGGCCCGCACAAGCAGUGGAGU
This 896-nucleotide ribosomal RNA is filed under the name uncultured organism. Its description in RNAcentral is "SSU rRNA". It matches the Rfam family "Bacterial small subunit ribosomal RNA", at positions 29 to 938 of the family's 1533-position model. The record is from RNAcentral.